GGGGGGGGGGGGGGGGGGGGGGGGGGGGGGGGGGGGGGGGGGGGGGGCCCGGCGGGGGGGGGGGGCUCGGGUGGCGGGCGGGGGCGUAGCGCGGGCGGGGCCUGCCGGUGCCUUUGGGAUGCCUUCGGGGAGCUGGGGCUACUACCGGCUGGGAGCUCCUGCUGCCGGGUGGGGGUUGGGCCGCUUCGGCGGUUGGGGAUGGACUCGCGCCUGCUCAGCUGGUUGGGGGGGUAGUGGCUUACCACGGCUUUGACGGGUAGCCGGCCUGAGCGGGUGACCGGCCACAGUGGGAGUGAGAUACGGCCCAGACUCCUACGGGCGGCAGCAGUGGGGAAUAGUGCGCAAUGGGCGGAAGCCUGAUGCAGCAACGCCGCGUGCGGGAUGACGGCCUUCGGGUUGUAAACCGCUUUCGCCUGUGACGAAGCGUGAGUGACGGUAAUGGGUAAAGAAGCACCGGCGAACUACGUG
Molecule: ribosomal RNA, 468 nt
Filed under: uncultured bacterium
Lineage: Bacteria
Description: partial 16S ribosomal RNA
Rfam family: Bacterial small subunit ribosomal RNA (bases 58-468)
Source: RNAcentral